UACGUAGGGUGCGAGCGUUAAUCGGAAUUACUGGGCGUAAAGCGUGCGCAGGCGGCUUUGCAAGACAGAGGUGAAAUCCCCGGGCUCAACCUGGGAACUGCCUUUGUGACUGCAAGGCUAGAGUACGGCAGAGGGGGAUGGAAUUCCGCGUGUAGCAGUGAAAUGCGUAGAUAUGCGGAGGCACACCGAUGGCGAAGGCAAUCCCCUGGGCCUGUACUGACGCUCAUGCACGAAAGCGUGGGGAGCAAACAGGAUUAGAUA
RNAcentral lists this ribosomal RNA (261 nucleotides) under uncultured Burkholderiales bacterium. RNAcentral's name for it is "partial 16S ribosomal RNA". It matches the Rfam family "Bacterial small subunit ribosomal RNA", at positions 524 to 784 of the family's 1533-position model. Lineage: Bacteria; Pseudomonadati; Pseudomonadota; Betaproteobacteria; Burkholderiales. The record is from RNAcentral.